CUUCAACGACCCCAGCCACAGCGGCUGUCCUUCCGGGCGGCCCUGCCCGUACGUCGCCAACAGGGCCUGGGCCUC
Molecule: antisense RNA, 75 nt
Filed under: Streptomyces albireticuli
Lineage: Bacteria; Bacillati; Actinomycetota; Actinomycetes; Kitasatosporales; Streptomycetaceae
Description: ASpks TB sRNA
Rfam family: ASpks TB sRNA
Source: Rfam by way of RNAcentral